Molecule: transfer RNA, 66 nt
Filed under: Paradyschiria parvula
Lineage: Eukaryota; Metazoa; Arthropoda; Insecta; Diptera; Streblidae
Description: tRNA-His
Source: RNAcentral
AUUUAAAUAGUUUAUGAAUAAAAUUUUGAUUUGUGAUAUCAAAGAAAAGAUUAGUCUUUUUAAAUA